GCGUGAAUGAUGAAGGCCCUAGGGUUGUAAAAUUCUUUCAGCGGGGAAGAUAAUGACGGUACCCGCAGAAGAAGCCCCGGCUAACUCCGUGCCAGCAGCCGCGGUAAUACGGAGGGGGCUAGCGUUGUUCGGAAUUACUGGGCGUAAAGCGGGUGUAGGCGGGUCUUUAAGUCGGGGGUGAAAUCCCAGGGCUCAACCCUGGAACUGCCCUCGAUACUGGAGACCUAGAGGUCGGGAGAGGUGAGUGGAAUUCCGAGUGUAGAGGUGAAAUUCGU
Molecule: ribosomal RNA, 275 nt
Filed under: uncultured bacterium
Lineage: Bacteria
Description: partial 16S ribosomal RNA
Rfam family: Bacterial small subunit ribosomal RNA
Source: RNAcentral